RNAcentral lists this ribosomal RNA (465 nucleotides) under Vreelandella stevensii. Its description in RNAcentral is "partial 16S ribosomal RNA". It matches the Rfam family "Bacterial small subunit ribosomal RNA", at positions 338 to 795 of the family's 1533-position model. Lineage: Bacteria; Pseudomonadati; Pseudomonadota; Gammaproteobacteria; Oceanospirillales; Halomonadaceae. The record is from RNAcentral.
CCUACGGGAGGCUGCAGUGGGGAAUAUUGGACAAUGGGGGCAACCCUGAUCCAGCCAUGCCGCGUGUGUGAAGAAGGCCCUCGGGUUGUAAAGCACUUUCAGUGAGGAAGAACGCCUGGUGGUUAAUACCCAUCAGGAAAGACAUCACUCACAGAAGAAGCACCGGCUAACCCCGUGCCAGCAGCCGCGGUAAUAUGGAGGGUGCGAGCGUUAAUCGGAAUUACUGGGCGUAAAGCGCGCGUAGGUGGCUUGAUAAGCCGGUUGUGAAAGCCCCGGGCUCAACCUGGGAACGGCAUCCGGAACUGUCAAGCUAGAGUGCAGGAGAGGAAGGUAGAAUUCCCGGUAUAGCGGUGAAAUGCGUAGAGAUCGGGAGGAAUACCAGUGGCGAAGGCGGCCUUCUGGACUGACACUGACACUGAGGUGCGAAAGCGUGGGUAGCAAACAGGAUUAGAUACCCUGGUAGUC